GUCCCAUUUAAAAACCUGUGGUUUGAGUAUAAUUUUUCAGUCCAUAAGCACAGACGAAGGAUAUCAAUGAUCUGGAAAGAUUCUGUAUAUAGAAAUUGUCUAAGAUCCCUCCCAUGUGUUCUCCAUUCUCAUCAAGCAUUAGAAAAAUACUCGUAUCAUUAUCCUCGAGCUUGCAAGGUGAGGGUACUUUAAAAAAUAUAUUUUUUACUUACUUGUUAAACAAAAUCUCUUUCUCUGAUUAAUUGUGUAAGUAUAAAAUAACAUAAUUUGUCCGUUUUUUUAGCAUACAAUAUAGCUCAGUACUUGUAUUAUUUAUUUAUUGUAUUUUUUGCUAAUCUUUAUCAAGGGAUCAAAUCAUUUGGGACCCCACUGUAUAUAAUAAUAAUAAUAAUAAUAAUAAUAAUAAUAUAUGCCAUUUAGUAGACACUUUUUUGCAUUAAUUUGACAUUCCUUUGUAUAUAGACUUGAAUGUAACAGUUUGAAUGGAACAGUUUGAAUACAACGGUUAGUAAUGUAACAGUUUGAAAGCAACAGUUUCAGCAUUAUUAUACUAUUACGCACGACAGUUUUCCAGAACUAUUUUAAGGUCUCCAAAGUGUACAUAGCCUAGCCCGCUGAUUGGGGAGCAUCUAACCUAAACCUGUCAACGUUGCUCCCCUGCUCCUAUAAUCUCUCCAACGAAACCGAAAGAAACCAAAAAGGUGAUUGAUUGAUCGUGGAAAUUGUCCUCGACUUGAUGGGACUGGAGUUUGCUGAAAUCCUAAGCCCACCGCUAGCAACCCAUGACAGAGAGGGAAACUAGAGACGCCAGUAGGAUUUCGGCGAUGUUGGGUAACCACGGAACUUCGGAAAAAUCACUGCACAUCCUGGGUCCGCUUGCCAACGCGUUGACUUUACCCAUGAAAGCGUUUUUAAACACCCAAAUAGGCUACUAACCUUUUGGAUACAAUGUACACAGCCCGAUCACGAAUAACUCCCGCAGCUCCUGCUGGCUCCCGAUGACACGGAUUUGCUUGUCUGAAGAUCAUCCUAUAGAAAAUGAUAAAUGUAUGUGAACGGGCCUGUGCUCCGUAGCGUCGUGGUGUUUCUGCUGUUGGGUGUCUCCUACAGUAAGCGCAGGUGCAACUACACGGAUAUACUCAGCACGUACAGAGAACUAAUCUUCGUUGAACUUCAGAAUUUGAAUCUGACAGGCACUUUUGACACACCCAAAGAGAGGGACCAUUGUCCCUCAGGAAAGCUGCAGCACGUGUUGCGCUCCAUCCAUGGUAUGACGGAGCAAUUCCUGUGUCAGGGCUGGGAUCAGGAACACGGGCGGGGCAGCAGAGAGCAGUGGGCCAUGAAGAAGCCAGUGGAGAUGAUGGCAGUGCUGAUCAGACAGAACUGCAGGCACACUGACCUGGUGAGGAAACAGAAGAGAACAGCGCUGUGUGUGACUGCCCAGAGGACGAAGGGAAAGAACAGGAAGAGGAUGAGACUCAUCAGGGCACUGAUAAACUGUUGGCAGAAGCUGCAGAGUUUGUACACACCCACAAAAUAAUUUGAAAAAAAUAUGUUUUUAUUUUUUAUCAAAAUUGUUUCAAAAAAGCUUAUUUUGUAGAGUAGAAUGACAGUUUGUAUGUCAGGCAUAGGCCUCUGUUUAUGACCUUUUACUUCUUGUCUGUACAGUCCCACAUGUAUAAGCUAUAGGUCACCAUAGAUCAGGGAUGGGCCACUUUGAUGUGGGCGGGGGCCACAAAAAAAACGAACUGAUCAUGCUUACUAUAAGUUUAGAUAACUAGCCGCUAGACUAACUUGCCAAUCUAAAAAGGUUUACCUGACUUGGGCUAAUUAAGUGACUGCUGAUGCACAACCAACCACAUGUUGAAAUUGCACCUUGUGUAAUCUAUUAUUCUAACUCUCAACAGUAAAUUGAGACCCGACUGAGUUCCCCCCAUUAAUUAUGGUUGUUAGAGGAUGGUUUUACAAUGCAGUGAAGAUAUUUACUUGUAAUACCUUGGUGCACACACAUUUUAUAACUCUUAGCUAUCUCACAAUCCAGAUAUUGUUUUUGUGAAACCGAUAGAUACAGUUGUUGUUCUAUGAAAUGUAUUUAAGAUGCCCACUGAUAAAGGUUUCUU
Oncorhynchus tshawytscha (Chinook salmon) is the source of this 2120-nucleotide long non-coding RNA. The record is from Ensembl. Lineage: Eukaryota; Metazoa; Chordata; Actinopteri; Salmoniformes; Salmonidae.